RNAcentral lists this long non-coding RNA (215 nucleotides) under Nicotiana benthamiana. RNAcentral's name for it is "long non-coding RNA (NBEN_LNC000678)". The record is from RNAcentral. Lineage: Eukaryota; Viridiplantae; Streptophyta; Magnoliopsida; Solanales; Solanaceae.
UUGAAGUUAAUAAGAAUGGAAUGAGUAGCAUUACCAUAGGACAAUUUCUAAUGUUGUGACCUUUCUCACUGCAGUAUCCACAAGUCAUGACAACUUCUUUUCUUGAAGAUAACCAAACCCCCUCUCUCAUCCUUGCCUCAUCCUUUUCUCUCUUUCUCUUUACCUUUGGUCGACCAACCAUUUUGACAAUAUCUGGUGGCUCUAUUGCAUGAUGU